This 496-nucleotide ribosomal RNA is filed under the name Fusarium chlamydosporum. Its description in RNAcentral is "eukaryotic LSU rRNA". The stretch from base 129 to 282 matches the Rfam family "5.8S ribosomal RNA". Lineage: Eukaryota; Fungi; Ascomycota; Sordariomycetes; Hypocreales; Nectriaceae. The record is from RNAcentral.
CCCCUGUGACAUACCUAUACGUUGCCUCGGCGGAUCAGCCCGCGCCCCGUAAAACGGGACGGCCCGCCCGAGGACCCCUAAACUCUGUUUUUAGUGGAACUUCUGAGUAAAACAAACAAAUAAAUCAAAACUUUCAACAACGGAUCUCUUGGUUCUGGCAUCGAUGAAGAACGCAGCAAAAUGCGAUAAGUAAUGUGAAUUGCAGAAUUCAGUGAAUCAUCGAAUCUUUGAACGCACAUUGCGCCCGCCAGUAUUCUGGCGGGCAUGCCUGUUCGAGCGUCAUUUCAACCCUCAAGCUCAGCUUGGUGUUGGGACUCGCGGUAACCCGCGUUCCCCAAAUCGAUUGGCGGUCACGUCGAGCUUCCAUAGCGUAGUAAUCAUACACCUCGUUACUGGUAAUCGUCGCGGCCACGCCGUAAAACCCCAACUUCUGAAUGUUGACCUCGGAUCAGGUAGGAAUACCCGCUGAACUUAAGCAUAUCAAUAAGCGGAGGAA